UUGGAGGUGCUGCUUGGUGGAAGGAAGAUUGAGGUGAGAGAAAUGGGAGUGGAUUAGCGAAGAUUAAGUAACAGGAUAGAAGAUCAGACAGGAAGUGAAAGUCAAAUCAUACAGGGCCUGUGGGCCACUAUCAGGAUUUUGCCUUUACUCCAAGUGAGGUGAGAGCCUUUCACGUGUUUUGGUUUGGUUUGGUUGUUUUUAUUGAAGUUGAGUUGACCUACCAUGUCAGAUUAGUUUCAGGUGUUCAACAUAGUAAUUUGACAUUUAAUGCAUUAUAAAAAGCUCACCACAAUAAGUGUAGUCACCAUCUGUCACCAUACAAAGUUAUUAAAAUAUUACUAUAUUGCCUAUGCUAUACUUUAUAUCCCCAUGACUUAAGCCAUUGGUGUGCUUUAAGCUGAGGAGUUCAGUGUUGUAACUGUCAUUUAAGUGGCUAUAUCGGGAAGAGACUGAAGAGGUCAAAGGUGGAAGCUGGGAGGUCAGGAGAUCCUUGCAAGAAUUCAUGAGACAGAUGAUGAUGGCUUGGCCUAGGGCAGUGUAUGUAUAUGUACUUACUCCUGGCCCCUUGUCUUUCCACACAGAGUGGAUGACUAUGUGCAUACCUUACAGCUCUAUUGGAAAGUUUUUCCCUCUUUAAGGUCUUCUAAGGCCACCCUUAAAUAUGGCUGUAAUGUAGCUGUCACCCAUUCUUUCACCCACAAACUGAGCCAACCCAUAUGUAAACCAAGCUUGGACCUUUUCCUCUUUUUUCCAGCCAGUCCUACAGAACCCACCCUCCCCACGUAACCAUAUAUGAAGCACGGGAAAGGGGUGCUGGUGAAAUCCUGUUGGGUGACAUUGGGCUUCUGGGUGCCUUGCUCAUGCAGCUUACUCAUGCCCUCUGGUUCUGCUCAGAUGUACAUCCUGGAUGCACAAUUUACAUCUUAUGGAAGAGGUUUCUUCUGGAUCUAACUUUAUAACUUGAGAGAUAGAGAGUACAGGAAGGCAGAGAGGCAGGCAGAGGGAGAGGGAGAAGCAGGCUCUCCGCUGAGCAGGAAGCCGAUGUGGGGCUCGAUCCCAGAACCCUGGGAUCAUGACCUGAGCUGAAGGCAGACGCUCAACCGACUGAGCCACCCAGGCGCCCCGGAUCAUGGUUUUCUAUUGAGUUACAGAUGUUAACCACCAUUUGAGCUGCCUGUUUUGCCCUUAGGAUGCUACGUUCUAUGAACGUGUAAAGCCUCCUUUGCUGCUCCUCUGAUGUAGCUGGCCAUUAAGAUUUUAUUUAUUCGUCAGAGAAAGCACAAGCAGGAGGGAGCGGCAGGCAGAGGGAGAAGCAGGCUGCCCAUCGAGCAGGGAGCCCGAUGCGGGAGUCGAUCCCAGGACCCCGGGAUCAUGACCCGAGCCGAAGGCAGACGCUUAACCGCCUGAGCCGCCCAGGGGAUGAUAUUCUCAGAUAAUGUCUAAGACAGCUUCUUGGAGAACGGCAUCAUCAGUCGACGACGUAUAUCCUGCCAUCAGUGUUCUAAGUACUAAGGUUUAAACGUUUCAGGAAUACAAUUCUGGAAAUGAUCUACAGGGAGAAGAACGGGGAGUUUGAGGACUCGCUGAAGAGUACAUAAGCCCCCAGUGUUAGUGUGGGGCGCCCAGGAGCCUCGCCCUUCAUGAAAUGCCAGCAUUUCACCACAGCAGAAUGGCCGGCAGAAACCGUGGAAGUGAAUGCGGGUUUCCACAGAACGACUGCUAAACCCCUCUAAGAGGAAGCCGGUAUUUCUUCGGACAAUUCCCUCUGCCACACACACAGAUGGAAGCAAAGUGGGAGGUAAUAAGCAAUGAAAACAGCCGCUGGGACAAGCAAGCUUACUCGCUUCACAUAAAUACAAGCUCCGCUGUAUUUAACUCGUGGGGCAGUCUAGCAUCACUGGUAACAAUGGAUGAAACCACGGGCCAAAAUUCCAAGCCAGAGUGCAGUAUACAGAGAGGGUAAGUGCACUGCAGUGUUCUACCACAAAAAGAUACGCUGUGUGGUAACUUAGCAUUUACAGCACUUUUAGGGAAGGCCUGAGGGUAGAAGCUACAUUAGUCCCCAUUCUGUAGCAUCUGCCAUUCCCAGUCAGUAGGAUAAAAUUUCUGUGAAAUUUAGCGGCAUGCAAACUACUAUAGUAGUCUGAUGAGAUCCGACUAUUUUUGGUUAAGAAAGAACCUACUUUGUCAUAAAGUCCUAUCUAAGGAACCCCUUAUCCACCGGUGAGGCUUGAGAUCUCUCUGCCAAAGUUCUCUUCCUAGUAUCUUUAACUGAGUGGUUGACUUUUAUAGCAUGUUCGUUAGAACACCACUUAAAAAAAAAAAAUCCAUUACCACCCAGUUAAGGAAAGAAAUAAAGGUAAGACAUAAAACCAAAAGUAAAUACUAAAAAGGUAGGUCUAUAUCAAUUUCAAUAGCCAGCAACCAUCGAAGGAAAUAAUUUAUUUUAAAUACUGUCUUUAAAAAAGUGUUCAUGUUAAAAUUCAGCAUUAUAGGA
Molecule: long non-coding RNA, 2497 nt
Organism: Mirounga angustirostris (Northern elephant seal)
Lineage: Eukaryota; Metazoa; Chordata; Mammalia; Carnivora; Phocidae
Exons: 8
Source: RefSeq, a predicted model, not a curated record